RNAcentral lists this unclassified non-coding RNA (3066 nucleotides) under Haliotis rubra (blacklip abalone). RNAcentral describes it as "eLMO domain-containing protein 2-like, transcript variant X1". The record is from RNAcentral. Lineage: Eukaryota; Metazoa; Mollusca; Gastropoda; Lepetellida; Haliotidae.
GAGGCGUAUUAUGAUUGGUCGUUCUCUUGGUAACACGACCUGAGUCACUUCCGGUGAAUGGCGAUACGUAUACUACUCAACAUCAAGCACAACUUGCCCGGCUGCUUUCAAUGUGGACUGAAAUAUGGACUAGCUUGUGGUGUCAGUUGUAUUUAUUGGCCAGACCCAUGAUCAAGUGGAUCCUCAGGAGAGUUACAGGGAAAUGUGAACUGUUGAGGAUAACAUAUGAUGAAGAGCCUGGAGCAGGAAGGACAAAGAGAAUAGAAAAGUCACUCAAACGAUCCCAUCAGCCGGCACUGAAACAAAUCUUGAGUGAUGACAACCUGGUUAUUGGUGAAGCAGUGAAGGAGGUGCUUAGACUGAAGUCUAUUGUACCUGAGGUACACCCAAACUUUGAGAGAUGUUUCAGCGUGUGUGUGUGUCAGAUCUGUGGCUACAGGAGGUUGCUGCAGCAGGUAGAGGAUCACAGGAAGACCAAGUACAGCACCGCAGACAGACAGCACGAAGACAAACUCAUGCUGCUGUGGACAUUGCUAAUGCCGACCACCAAGCUUGAGUCCCGGGUCAGCAAACAGUGGACAUAUAUCGGCUUCCAGGGGGAUGAUCCCGCCACCGACUUCAGGGGGAUGGGGCUGCUGGGCCUGGACCAGCUUCUGUAUUUCAUCAAGGAAUAUCCCGAAAUCACACACAGUCUUCUCUCUCAAUCCCACCAUCCACAGUAUGGCUUCUCAUACGCAAUACUGGGCAUCAACUUCACGGGGAUGUGUUAUGACCUGCUUAAGUCUCGGAAACUGAGAACUCAUUUCUACAACCUGACCGUGGAGGCCCCUACCAUGAAACAGUUUAAUGAAGUCUACUGUUGCCUGUUCUUCGACUUCAUCCAGUUCUGGUUCAAGGAGAAGCCCAGGGACAUCAUGGAAUUCGGUCGGCUUCGUGACAAGUUCCAGAAGCUGAUUGUCAAACAACUGAAGGACAAACAUUUUGUUUUGAAGGCCAAGUUUCAGACAGCGGGGGAGGGGGGCAUCAUGAUAGAACUCUUUAUGUACCUGGAACCUUUUUCAUAUCUUCAGAUUUACUGGAAAUAUUUACUUGAAUUAAACAUUUGAUAAGAAUAUAUUGAAGUAGAUUUGGUAUUUGUGAAUGACCCGUUUUGUCUUUUAGGAUUUGUUCCAUGUUUGUGAACUAAGAUAUAUGCCACCUUGACAAGGUGCACAACGCUGUGUAUGAAGGCAUGUCCCGACGGCAUCUGUUGAUUGUAUUGAGAACAUGUCAUUAUGUAGCCAUAUUGUCGGUAGUUGGCCAACAGGGUUAUGUUUGUCUGGUGCUAUAGUGUUCCAGUAUGAUUUAGAGAGUAUGCCACAUUUUGUCAGAGUAAUUAUAUGAAUUAUGCAGAGAUGAUUUCUGCUUGAACUCUGCCCCGGAGUGAAGUAGAGGCAAUGUAUGUGCAAUAUACCUAUGAUUGAUUUACUACACUGAGCUGAGUUUACCAGUAAGUGGAGAAAAGAGAGCAGUGCUGUAAUACUCCUGAAUAUACAUUGUGUUUCCAUGUUACAACUCUCAAAGGUCUACAGAUUUUAUUAUAUUUCUUCAUUUUCGUGAUUGCUGAAAGAAAGUUUGAAGUUGUUAUUAUUUCAGGAUUGUAGUUGUCGGGACAGUAAUGAUUACUUGAGUUCAUACAAACUCAGAAAGAUUGAAAGCCUUAAACCAUGUCAUAUCUCCUUGUGAACCACAUCUGUCUAGAAGGGAAGGUAAUCUUUGUGAAUAUGGUCAUAUUGUCCUGUCUGGGAGGGGAGGUAAUCCUUGUGAAUAUGGUCAUAUUGUCCUGUCUGGGAGGGGAGGAAAUCUAUGUGAACAUGUGACCUGGUCAGUUCUGAAUGCCACAAUGCAAUAUUGGUGGGAAAAGGUUAAACAUAUGACAACAAUUUGAUGGUUACAUUAUCAACUUCAAAUGGAAUGUAAAGCGGACGCAUAGGAAUGUUCUUGUGUUGGGAGGCAGCACAUCACAGGACACCUGUCAUCAUCGAUGUCAAUUCUACGGGUGUGCGAGAAUGUGAUGACUUGUCCACCCUCAUGUCCACCCUCAUGUCCAUCCAUCCAUCCUCCUGCUCCUUCUGACAUCAUUGACAUUCAUUGGACAACAGAACAUCUUCAUACUCCCUUGACCUGCUGUAUUGUUAGAUAUGGCACCCAUCGAACAUGUGGCAUGAAAUGUAAACACCUUCCACACCUACCAGGCAUUUGAUCCAGCUGUGACAGACCAUGGUCCGAAAAGCCUUCAAACUUUCGUGUGUCGUCAGUGAGACUCAGUGUCCAGACUGUGGCCAUAUACUGACCCCACACCACCUUCAGUGGUAGAUGACCUUCAUCGAGGAUAUAUUCAUGUCCAGACACAUCAGUAUAUUGUUCUGGUAGAGUGAUGUCACAUCUCUGCUCCAUCUCUCUCAGCAGCCAUCUUCCACGUGAAGGUAACUUGUUUCGGGGGCCGUGUGAACUCCAAGUGCAGCUGUGUGAGUGAGUGGGUCAAGGUCAAGGAGGGCAUUCCUCUUGAAGAUCAGAUCCAGAAGUGAUCAUUCCACAAGUCCUGUUGCCUGUUUAAUGUGUGUGUCUAUUACGUGUGCUUUUGUGAAGUUUAAUGUUACUUCAUGUAAACAUUACCUAGGAGGUAUAACACAGACUCAGGUGACAGAGUUCUUGUCUGUGUGGCCCAGUAAUAUGUAAACUGCUUCUCAAGGAAUUUUGAAACCUUUUUUUGUCAGCAGACACAGGGCAAUGAGGUUAUGUGUCUGAGGUAACAUCACUUUCAGCUGUGCCUGACCUUGAAUGAUGAACUUGAAAGUGGCAGAAGACUUCAUUUUUCUCAUUCCACACUGUGUUUGACAUUCCCUCAACAUUGCUUACUUGGCCCCAGAGUCCGCAGUAUCACUCCACAGUAGACUCCAUGUUGGCCCUCAAAUCCGCAGUAUCACUCCACAGUAGACUCCAGGUUGAUUCAAAGUUUAUAUUGUCACCAUCUGAUACUGUAAGGUGUAAACAUCAUACAGUCUUUCAAUAAAAACAUUUAUCGUU